Molecule: long non-coding RNA, 284 nt
Filed under: Elaeis guineensis (African oil palm)
Lineage: Eukaryota; Viridiplantae; Streptophyta; Magnoliopsida; Arecales; Arecaceae
Description: long non-coding RNA (EGUI_LNC018005)
Source: RNAcentral
AGUCAGUCUCAAUAUACAACCCUCAAACUGCUCAAUGCGUACCGACUGAUCAGUAAUCAUCUGAAAAAUAAUGAAAAUAUGAGGGAUCAGUAUCUGAUCAGAUACAUCCUGAGAUAUCGAUCCCUGUGCAAAGACUGAAGUACCAAACUAUCGAGAUAGAAUGGAGGCUACAUGCUGGGAUAUCAUCUCAAUCUGAUCAUCUGCCAAUUUGAGCUCUAAAGGAUGUGCCCUGCUGUCCGGCUGUGGAACUGAAGUAUGUCUCAUCGCAGACUCUGAUGGGCCAG